RNAcentral lists this long non-coding RNA (1039 nucleotides) under Ictidomys tridecemlineatus (thirteen-lined ground squirrel). RNAcentral describes it as "lncRNA (ENSSTOG00000032890.1)". The record is from RNAcentral. Lineage: Eukaryota; Metazoa; Chordata; Mammalia; Rodentia; Sciuridae.
GGAGGAGGUGCCUCACUGGGGAACAGGCCUUUGACUCUUUCUUGACUUCCUGGUUCCACAUUCUGAGCUGCUUUCCUCCACCGCGCCCUUCCACCAUGGGCCCAGAGCAAUGGAGUUGGCCGUCUAUGGACAGACAUCUAUGAAACCCGCACCUCCUCUAAAUUAUUCUUAUCAGGUCUUUUGGUCACAGCAGCAAAAAAAGCUGCCUAAAACAAAUAGACAUUCAGCACACUGAUUCCUUUGAUGGAAUUAAAUUUAUCUCAGAAACUGUUCUUAAUUUUAGCAUCAGAAUUUUUAAAACUAAGACAAAAGUCCUGCCUUCUUUUUCACUUAACAAUGUCUCCUUUGAUUCCUCUCUCUCUUCUUGCAGUUCAGUAAGCAGAAAGGAGAAAGGUGGUGUCUCCCUAAAAACGGGACAUGGCAUCUCUGAAGAGGGGAUACCCGCCACAGCCCCUUCUGACCCACUGCUACUCUUGUCUAGUGAUCAGUGAGAGGCCAGAGCAGCUCGCCAUGCUGGCUUACCAGGGACUGCACAUGGGCAAACUCGGUGAUACCAACAGCGGAGGAGGUCAGGGUCUUUGGUCCUGAGAUUUAUCAGACAGAAGAGCAGCUCCUGACUGGGCGGCCUACCUGCUUCGAGCUGGGCACACCCAGGGCCUGCUGUGAACGGUGUCCCCGAUGAGUGGGCAUCCACACCCACCCUCUUUAUAAGUCCCUCUUGACUCAGCUUCCCACAGGUUGGCUUUGUGACCGAGUCCUCCCUUCGCUUAGGAGUGACCAAUCACCCCUGCCCAGACUGUUCCCGCCAAUGAAUGUACUAAUCAUGUCUCAGAGUUGUUGUUCAAUUUUCCCGCACCUCAUGAUGAUUUGUUCUGAUGUAUGCAAAGCCCCCCCCACCCCCUCCACCCCCGGCCCUCUCCAAAAAGUGUACUUAAGCUCUGCUUGACCUCUGCUCUGGGCUCUGGGCUGCUCUCCUUUCUUGAGUGGGCACAGAGCCCCAGCAUGCUGGUUCAAUAAAAUUCCCCCCUGCUUAUUGCAU